GAAAAUGUUGACCUGUCCAACAGACAGUUAAAAGCAGCAGUCCUGUCCUGUAGUCCAUCCUGUCAAACUGUGUGUCCACUGGAUGGGCUGGAUCAG
Long non-coding RNA from Thalassophryne amazonica, 96 nucleotides. RefSeq lists it as uncharacterized. The record is from RefSeq and is a predicted model, not a curated record. Lineage: Eukaryota; Metazoa; Chordata; Actinopteri; Batrachoidiformes; Batrachoididae. The transcript has 3 exons.